Non-coding RNA from Musa acuminata subsp. malaccensis (wild Malaysian banana), 152 nucleotides. The record is from Rfam. Lineage: Eukaryota; Viridiplantae; Streptophyta; Magnoliopsida; Zingiberales; Musaceae.
GGCCCGAUGCCACGUCACCAGUAGCUUAUGCAUUGACUGGUGAUGCUAUGAUCUGGCCAAGAUCAAGUCCUGGUUGGACAUUUUGCAUGCUGAUAGGAACCUGUGGAUAAGAUCCAUGUUCAUCCACGGAGCCGAUUUCUGCGAUCACAAUU